UUUUUUCUUUCACCGAUCUUUCCACGUCUUCAAUAUGUUCAGAUGUUGAAGGGAUUUCAAACUCAAUUGGACUUGUACGGGGAGGUAUAUCUCGUUGUAUAGAGCUGAUAAUCGUUUCCAUGUGUGAUUUUUAGUCGGAUAAUUAAUUCUGCAUACUUUGAUUUUGUUCAUCAAUGUAAGAUUUGGCUGAGUUGAAACUGGUAUCCACAUAAGAUUGCAUGCUAUGGAAGUAGUCUUGUUGGCUUUGUUGCUGGUGUUCAAAAAAUUGUUUUUGAUUGUCAAGAAUCUUUUGGUAG
Molecule: long non-coding RNA, 296 nt
Filed under: Olea europaea (common olive)
Lineage: Eukaryota; Viridiplantae; Streptophyta; Magnoliopsida; Lamiales; Oleaceae
Description: long non-coding RNA (OEUR_LNC005724)
Source: RNAcentral